This is a transfer RNA of Coniophora puteana RWD-64-598 SS2, 86 nucleotides long. It matches the Rfam family "tRNA". Rfam says of the family: Transfer RNA (tRNA) molecules are approximately 80 nucleotides in length. Their secondary structure includes four short double-helical elements and three loops (D, anti-codon, and T loops). The record is from Rfam. NCBI's taxonomy places the organism in Eukaryota, Fungi, Basidiomycota, Agaricomycetes, Boletales, Coniophoraceae.
CCGACUUUAGCUCAGUUGGAAGAGCGCGAGACUGUAAUGGUUAACUGAUCAUCUUGAGGUCGCCUGUUCGAGCCAGGCAAGUCGGA